Molecule: ribosomal RNA, 465 nt
Filed under: uncultured bacterium
Lineage: Bacteria
Description: partial 16S ribosomal RNA
Rfam family: Bacterial small subunit ribosomal RNA
Source: RNAcentral
GAUGAACGCUGGCGGCGUGCUUAACACAUGCAAGUCGAACGGAAAGGCUCCUGCUUGCAGGGGUACUCGAGUGGCGAACGGGUGAGUAACACGUGGGUGAUCUGCCCUGCACUUCGGGAUAAGCCUGGGAAACUGGGUCUAAUACCGGAUAGGACGAUGGUUUGGAUGCCAUUGUGGAAAGUUUUUCGGUGUGGGAUGAGCUCGCGGCCUAUCAGCUUGUUGGUGGGGUAAUGGCCUACCAAGGCGUCGACGGGUAGCCGGCCUGAGAGGGUGUACGGCCACAUUGGGACUGAGAUACGGCCCAGACCCCUACGGGAGGCAGCAGUGGGGAAUACUGCACAAUGGGCGCAAGCCUGAUGCAGCGACGCCGCGUGGGGGAUGACGGCCUUCGGGUUGUAAACUCCUUUCGCUAGGGACGAAGCGCAAGUGACGGUACCUGGAGAAGAAGCACCGGCUAACUACGUG